Molecule: ribosomal RNA, 321 nt
Filed under: Triticum aestivum (bread wheat)
Lineage: Eukaryota; Viridiplantae; Streptophyta; Magnoliopsida; Poales; Poaceae
Description: partial small subunit ribosomal RNA
Source: RNAcentral
AUGCCUCCUGGUAGCGAGGACGAGAGUGCGCCCCUGAGCGCCACCGACCGCAUCGGUGCACUCCCCGACCAUAUUCUCCACCACCUGCUCUCUUACCUCCCAGCGCAGGCAGCCGCGCGGACGUGCGUGCUUGCCUGGCGCUGGCGCCACCUUUGGAAGUCCACUACAGGCCUGCGCAUCGUCGGCCUUGACGAUGAGGAGACUGUCCAAGUUCAAGACCUCCGGAAGUUCAUGGAUCAUUGUCACGCCUUCCUCCAAUUCGGCGGACAGCGAGUCGCCGGCUCCAGACUCCCUGACAAAUGGACCGGCGAACGACGAUGA